This is a long non-coding RNA of Lolium rigidum, 573 nucleotides long. RefSeq lists it as uncharacterized. The record is from RefSeq and is a predicted model, not a curated record. The transcript is spliced from 3 exons. Lineage: Eukaryota; Viridiplantae; Streptophyta; Magnoliopsida; Poales; Poaceae.
UUCUUCUCUGUGAGCAACCAACGAAUAACCACCGAAGCCAUGGCCACCUCACAGAAACCUUGACCGUGUCGACGACUCCGUCCACCCCAAGCCUCGCCACCACCACCGUUGGAACCGCCUCGUCGUCCUCUACGUUCGGGUGUAAGGAAUCGAGUUAAUACCCUGUAAUUCGAGCGUAGUGUCGCCGUUUCUCCGCGUCGGUCGCCGAGCUUCUUCUCCGAUUCCGGCCACCUCCGUGCUUCCCCGUCGUUUCCGGGCAUGGAUUCAUGAUCCUGAUGUCGUCGGCGGUGGCGCUCCGGUGAGCCCCUAGACUCGGCACCACCACCAACGGGUUCUCCAUGUUCAGGCGCAUUCCCGAGCCAGCUUUCGUGUCCUUGUUCACGCAGAAUCAGGAGAUCGACUCCCGACCUGAUCUCCCUCCGACGUGGCUGUAGCCUUGCAAGCUCGACCCCGCCCCUGCUUGGUUCAAUUUCAGGCGCUCCUCUUCUCCAGCAACAUCAGUUUGAUGCGCGGGCAUCUACUUCAGUUUCGGUGCAUCUUUGUUUCAGACGUGAACAUCAGCCUAUCCUAGUG